RNAcentral lists this ribosomal RNA (442 nucleotides) under uncultured bacterium. RNAcentral's name for it is "SSU rRNA". It matches the Rfam family "Bacterial small subunit ribosomal RNA", at positions 26 to 518 of the family's 1533-position model. The record is from RNAcentral.
AGAGCGAACGCUGGCGGCAGGCUUAACACAUGCAAGUCGAGCGCCCCGCAAGGGGAGCGGCAGACGGGAGAGUAACACGUGGGAACGUACCUUUCAGUUCGGGACAACCAAGGGAAACUUUGGCUAAUACCGGAUACGCCCGUAAGGGGAAAGAUUUAUCGCUGAAAGAUCGGCCCGCGUCUGAUUAGCUAGUUGGUGAGGUAAUGGCUCACCAAGGCUACGAUCAGUAGCUGGUCUGAGAGGACGACCAGCCACAGGGGAACUGAGACACGGUCCCCACACCUACGGGUGGCAGCAGCGAGGGAUUUUCGGCAAUGGGCGCAAGCCUGACCGAGCAACGCCGCGUGCGGGACGACGCCCUUCGGGUGUAAACCGCUUUCGGUGGGACGAUGAUGACGGUACCACCGGAAUAAGCCUCGGCUAACUACGUGCCAGCAGCCGC